This 453-nucleotide ribosomal RNA is filed under the name uncultured Prevotellaceae bacterium. RNAcentral's name for it is "bacterial SSU rRNA". It matches the Rfam family "Bacterial small subunit ribosomal RNA", at positions 341 to 792 of the family's 1533-position model. Lineage: Bacteria; Pseudomonadati; Bacteroidota; Bacteroidia; Bacteroidales; Prevotellaceae. The record is from RNAcentral.
ACGGAAGGCAGCAGUGAGGAAUAUUGGUCAAUGGGCGGAAGCCUGAACCAGCCAAGUCGCGUGAAGGAUGAAGGUAUUAUGUAUUGUAAACUUCUUUAGACGUAGAGAAAUAAGGGGAUCGUGAUCCCUGAUGCUAGUAUACGUAGAAUAAGGAUCGGCUAACUCCGUGCCAGCAGCCGCGGUAAUACGGAGGAUCCGAGCGUUAUCCGGAUUUAUUGGGUUUAAAGGGAGCGUAGGCGGCCUUUUAAGUCAGCGGUCAAAUGUCAGCGCCCAACGCUGGCCUGCCGUUGAUACUGAUGGGCUUGAAUACACACAAGGAAGGUGGAAUUCGUCGUGUAGCGGUGAAAUGCUUAGAUAUGACGAAGAACUCCGAUUGCGAAGGCAGCCUUCUGGAGUGCGAUUGACGCUGAGGCUCGAAAGCGCGGGUAUCAAACAGGAUUAGAUACCCUGGUA